Molecule: unclassified non-coding RNA, 5489 nt
Filed under: Pomacea canaliculata
Lineage: Eukaryota; Metazoa; Mollusca; Gastropoda; Architaenioglossa; Ampullariidae
Description: angiopoietin-4-like, transcript variant X2
Source: RNAcentral
GGUAGACGUCGUAAAAUGAAGAGCUUAGUCCACUCAAAGAUAGUAAUUUACUAUAUAUUUACUAUACUUAAUUUAUACUUAUUUAAUUAAUUCAUUAUAAUACUAGUUUACUAUAUUUGGUUCCCUUAAAGUCGUACAGAAUUAAGAGUUACAUUCCCUUGACAUGGCAGACCCUUACCACCGCAAGUAGGAGAAAGGAGAAAAAAAAUCUAACAUUUUAUCACAAAUUUCAUAGUAGACAGUAUGUACUGAAUGUGUAGUUGAGAGACUGAAAAAGUGACGAAAGUGAAAACUUAAAGAGAUAUGAAGGUGUUGAUAAAUUGAUCGGAGAUAUUGUAAAAUGCUGACACUCCCAACCUACGAAGACACCGACGCGAACACACUAAGCUACAAAGGAACAGGAGCCAGAGAUUUAAUUUUAGCCGACGGGCAAGCUGUCACAACUUUCUAAUCAAUUUCUCAACGGUAAACGUCACCAAACUCACCUUGGCCGUCGACACGAAAAGUUCGACACGUCAAGACUCGCUGCGUCGUCUUCCGUCCCUAUGCAGACGAUAUCUGUGAGACCCAGACUAAUUUUUAACAUCGUAUUCUUUUUUACAUUGCUCCAGACUGAAACUGGAUGCAAAGUCUACGUGGAGACAAAUUAUGUUCAGGCCUAGCUAGUAUAUUUUCAGAAAACAACCAAAAAAAGUGUGAUCGAUAAGUUUACCGUUGUUUUUCGCUGUAAUGAAGUGAAAGACGAUACACACGACACGAUGCGGGUAGACGAUGAUAAAGCUCGUGCUAAACAGGAAGAAGGGAACGGUGACAUCCAGAAAAACAAUAUGCUCAAGCCUCGGAUUAACUACUGUGGGAUUUGUGCAUGGCAGUAAAACAAGUUACAUCUUCCUGCCACAUUCGACGACCUUUUCCCUGCAACAACAAACUGCAUCAAGUUUCGUGCGCACACAUUGAUUAGGUGAUCCUUCACUUCAUCUGGACGAAGAGCUCGAUACGAUGGCGACACGUUUUGUACAUGUUCUGAUGUUCAUCUCCAGCGUAGUGUGGGACUAUCCUGUGACAAGAGCCCAGAAGGCGGGCGAGCUGUGCGACCUUAACCUGUGGUAUAUGGACAUGGCGGCAGAAGGCGCUUUCGAAGGCGACCUCCGUCAAGAGCAGCGCGCGGUCAAGGAGCGGAUCGAGGCGCUAAUUGCUCGACACCGCACCCAGCCCAACGGCGGCCGCAUCAGCUGCUCCACCCUCGCCACCUUCGAGAACAUUCUGCUCAACAGCCGCAGUGACAAAACACCACAACGAUCUGGAAACGCCGGCAGCCCUACGCGUGGAAACUGAGAGCAACUCCCGUGACUUCAGAACCCCGCGUGAAUCUGGCAGAAGCUCACAUCAAGCGGACAUUAAAUUGUCUGAGACUAGCAGUAGUCCUCAGGAUUGCAAUCCAGAUGCUCCCGAAAGAGACUGUCUGACAAAAGGUGUGAAUGGACUCGCUGGUGUUGAGCGAGAUACAAUAAGAUUUUCAACAAGCGACAAGAAAAUGGCGCAACGACGCAUGCAGCUCGAUACGACAUACACCGAGGAAGAUGACCGAAGGUCUUCUUUAAAUAACCCGUAUAUCGCAACAUGGAGAAAAGAUCGAGCAACGACUUUAAGAGACGAUAAGGUGAGGGAAGAACGAGAUCCAGGAUCGUCAGCAGGAGAGAAGACGAUAGUGUCUGAACUUGUCGCUUCGGGUGGCGGGUCCAUGCACGAGACUCUCGCCUCUACGCCAGAUGGAGCUAAUGUAGUGGGCUUGGGUAGGGAAACGUCGAUGGAGGUUGAGUUCAAUGGGGGUGAAAGUGUCGACACAGAUGACGCCGCCAUGGACAUGUCACGGCAGUCGUCAUCAGGUAAGGUGGAAAGUCACGUGGGAAAGUCUGGGCUAAAAGGAGCAAUAGGUGCAGAGCACGCAGAUAUCGGCACUACGUCGCUCACAGCGCCGGGAAGGUCGUCUGCAGACGACACGAGCAAAGAAAAGGAGAAGGAAGAGGCGAAAAGUAGUCAGGCAGAAUUCAUUUGCGAACAUAACUGCUCGUCAGCUACAGAAGAAAACAAAGAAGAAACAGCCAAUAAGAUCGUGGCAGAAACGUUUCAAGAGGGAAUGACGCCUACGUCAAGACUUCAGUGGAUGGUAUUCCUCAGGUCUUCUCAUCUCAGGAAUCUUCAUGGACAAGACGAAAGCGACGAGAUAGUGGGUUGCGUCCCUUGUGGACCUGCCAGUACUUUCAACAAUUCAAGUGUUCGGUAUAUGAACGCUUCUUUCAUGCUUUAGAAUUUCCACCCUUUAAAACCACAUCGGUACACAGACGUGUGAACGUCUGGGCAGUGUGUACUUGUCCACGUACGGUUCAGAAUAGAGGCAAACAAAGCAGUGAAAACAGACCAUAUGUUUGUCGGUAUUAUGAGAUUAUGCAAAGUAGUCUCCUUGGACAUUUACCAUACCAGCUUUCUAACUUUACUGUUUUCAAACGUAAACCUGCAUCCACUUUAAGAACAAGACAAAGCGACCUUCCAGGGGUGUGUUCUUCCUUGAGUUUAUUUUUGCCAGUAGCACACCAGUGCCUUGUUAAUGAUCAGGGCGACGAUGUAAAUGAUGUACACAAAGAUCACAAAUUUAUGGACAAUGAAACAAAGUCUCCGAAAAUGGGGGCUAGGGAUAUGAUUUCAGGCGAGGAAGCUAUAACAAACAAUGACAUGCAAUCAUAUGAUAAGACUUUAGAAGAGUUGACGCUGGUGCCAGACGUUGAUGUGUUAUCAAGUGGUACUGUAGCAACAGAUGACACAGAUGUAGUAAGUACCGAGGAGAAUACGCUGAAGUCGGAUAGUAAGGACAUCACUUCAGGUACUAUUGACGUGCCAUAUGAUUCGGUGUCAUCACAUGACACGCAGUCGUCGACUAGUGGUAGAAUUAUUGGUGACACCGAUUCCAGUGAACUGGCCGUGAUGGACAACGAACCGUUUAUUUACCAGGUGCAAACAAACAGCGGCAAUGUCGUCUGUGUUUCAAACAGCUUAUAUGUAUUUGAGAUAUGGCGAGCAAUCAAGCAAAAUGCAGCUUCAAGGUUAGAUAACAACAACGAUGAUAAGAGGAAAACAGAAGAUGAUUCUUCUGACGGAAAUGAGGAUGGACCGAAAAGGACCUCAUUUUCUGAGUUUUCUGACAAAUCGGAUGACGAUGAUGAAUCUAUCAUCACUGAGACAAGAAAGGAAAUUAAGAUGAAAGUUGUCGAAUCACCCGCAGGGUACAGCCAGGAUACCACUUUUGAUAAGAACAAUGAUAAUAGGGUGGACGAUACCGCUUCUGCUAUGGACAACACUCUUAACAAGAAGACUACUGACAGCGAUCGAGAUUUGGUGAAAGGCAACGAUGAAGGUGAGGAGGAGCAAAACAAAUACAAUGGCAGCGUCAGGAUUAAUGACAAGAGAGAGUCAAGCAGUUCCAAGAUACAUUACCUGGAGCAACUGAUCCAUAAGCAGUUUUUAGAGCAGACGUCCAAAAUUCAGUCUUUAGAGUUGAUGAUUAUCAAGCUGGAAAAGCAGAUGCUGACCCAAACCUUGCACGAGCAAAAGGAGCUCACUCGUCUGCUGCAACUUGAGAACCAAAUUUUGCAUCUGGAGAACAAGCUGUUGCAACUCAACCAAAGCCAUGCCCUUCUUCACGAAGAGAACGAGAAGAUGAAAUCCAGACAAAGCCAGUACCUCGCUCUCGAGCACAAGGCUGGCGAGCAGAAUCGUGGGCCCGGUCAUGCUGGGUUGUCAGCUGGUGGUGAUGGAAGCACGCACUUGCAACUGGUCUCGGCGCAACAAACGAAAGUGGCAAGGCUGACCAAGCUGCUAAGGAGCCAGGCAGCCGUAGUGACCGGCUGCAGAGGCAGUAUGACCAGCUGGAGGGGCAGAGCAAAGCGCUGGAUCAACUCGUCACCACCCAGGCCAUCGUCUUGUCUCAACUUACGUUAAAGAUGCAGGAACUGGCCGAAGAGAACUUGAAGAUCCGGAAAGAAAUCCUCGAGAUGGGAUCCAAGUUGGACCCAUCAUUGUCAUCCUCUCGGAUUCUGGAGAAGAUAGAACAUCUUUUGCACAAAGGGCUCUCCAUGAGUAGCGCAGGUCGGUCUCCGAGUCAGCCUGAGAUCUUAGCAUCUCAACAGGUGAUGAAAGCGAGUCAGCCAGGAGUUCAAGGAGCAAGAAAGAAGUGGUCAGAUAUUAUGAUAUUUCUACCUUCCUCCUCCGCCGAGAGUCGACAGAGGAAAUGCGAGGGAAAUAAGUCCUCUAGGCUCUGUCUGUACUACAUCAUAAUCAUAACCCAAUGUCCUCCGUUUAGUGCGGUCACGUGGGGUAUAUGUCCUUACUUAGCGAGAGAGUUUUUCAACGAUAGACCUACAGGAACGCCUCAGGUUGGGAGAGUGACAGACGACGCAUUUCACAGAGUGGCAUCUGACACUGCUAACACCGAUACAAAGAGAGCAUCUGUCGGAGAGAGCAGAACAACCACUGGCACAGACCUUCCCAAAGUCCUUCUGCACGCGAAGUUAGACCACGAAGGAACAACUGGAGGAAAGAAAUCUUUCGGGGGCGUCACUGCAGCGGGUCGAGAGGAAAAGCUCAAGACAGAUAACAGUUUGAUUAACAAAUUGGAGUAUCACACGGCUGGAGAGGACAAAAUGGCAGGAGAGACGCUUGAAAGACUUGACUUACCACCAACUGUUUCUGUCCAAGAUGCUCACAGUCCUGGCAUGGGAGGUCAACCAGACAUUGCUCCAAAAGAAACUACAACACGACGCUUCGCUGACCAGGACAAAGCCCAUGAUGGAGAGGUAGUAGAUGUUGUGGACAUUCCGAAAAUACAACCUCAGACGGUCUUGAAAAUACUGGAAGCAGAUGCCCCAGGAAACCCAACCCGAGUUUCAGACAGCUUUGAAAAGCACGGAAAGGGUCAAAUUCUCCCACGACCUGUGAGGGUACUUGAUGGAGCGGUGCAGGAUGAGGAUAACGCUGAUGGAGCAUCUGUAGACGGUGAUCCACGCAGUCGACAAGCAUCUCAUUCGAUGCGUGACCCGGCCUCGUCAGCUCGUCUGGAAGUAGCUACGGCCGACCAGGAGAGCGUGACGAAAGAGACGGCCAAUCGCGACUCUGCAGCGCCAAGCAAGGCCAGUGAAAGCAAAGCUUCUGGGAAGCAGCCUCAUCGGGGCGGGAGCCGGCAGUGGAACAGAUGAACAAACACGUGGAAAUGAAAGCAGAAGAAAUGGAGAAAAAGCUACGGGCCGCAGAAAGACGGGUGUUGUUGUACCCGUCUGUUGAUAACAGGAAACCUCGAGACUGUUAUGACAUCUUGAUCAAGGCUGGAGGUCAAGCUCGGAACGGUGCCUACAAGGUAUUUGUGACCGGCCUUCACCUGUACGUCACUGUAUACUGCGACAUGAAGAAUGGUGGCUGGACGCUGCUCCUGAAACGAGAGG